GAUGAACGCUGGCGGCGUGCCUAACACAUGCAAGUCGAACGGACAGACGAUGAGCUUGUGCCUCUAACGUUAGCGGCUGACGGGCGAGUAACGCGUGCAUCACCUACUUAUAUUUCUGGGAGAAUUUCGGAAAACCGGAUCCAAUACUAGAGCAUAUGUUGAACCGCAGGGUUCAAUGGUGAAUCACGGCUUUCGUGUCUCUAUUAGAUGGUUCCGUGCUGUAUUAGCUAGUUGGUAAGGUAACAGCUUACCAAGGCGACGAUGCGUAGCCGAGCUGAGAGGAUGAUCGGCCACACUGGAACUGAGACACGGUCCAGACUCCUACGGGAGGCAGCAGUAGGGAAUAUUCGGCAAUGGGCGAAAGCCUGACGCAGCCAUGCCGCGUGAGUGAAGAAGGCCUUCGGAUCGUAAAGCCCUGUUAUUGGGGAAGAACAGCUGUAUAAUAAUACCUCGCUGUAUUGACGGUACCCAAUCAAAAAGCACCGGCUAACUACGUG
Molecule: ribosomal RNA, 497 nt
Filed under: uncultured bacterium
Lineage: Bacteria
Description: partial 16S ribosomal RNA
Rfam family: Bacterial small subunit ribosomal RNA
Source: RNAcentral